This 618-nucleotide ribosomal RNA is filed under the name uncultured bacterium. Its description in RNAcentral is "bacterial SSU rRNA". The stretch from base 1 to 522 matches the Rfam family "Bacterial small subunit ribosomal RNA", at positions 338 to 873 of the family's 1533-position model. The record is from RNAcentral.
CCUACGGGAGGCAGCAGUGGGGAAUAUUGCACAAUGGGCGAAAGCCUGAUGCAGCGACGCCGCGUGAGGGAUGACGGCCUUCGGGUUGUAAACCUCUUUCAGCAGGGAAGAAGCGAAAGUGACGGUACCUGCAGAAGAAGCGCCGGCUAACUACGUGCCAGCAGCCGCGGUAAUACGUAGGGCGCAAGCGUUGUCCGGAAUUAUUGGGCGUAAAGAGCUCGUAGGCGGCUUGUCACGUCGGGUGUGAAAGCCCGGGGCUUAACCCCGGGUCUGCAUUCGAUACGGGCUAGCUAGAGUGUGGUAGGGGAGAUCGGAAUUCCUGGUGUAGCGGUGAAAUGCGCAGAUAUCAGGAGGAACACCGGUGGCGAAGGCGGAUCUCUGGGCCAUUACUGACGCUGAGGAGCGAAAGCGUGGGGAGCGAACAGGAUUAGAUACCCUGGUAGUCCACGCCGUAAACGGUGGGAACUAGGUGUUGGCGACAUUCCACGUCGUCGUGCGCNGCUACGCAUAACGUUACCCGUCCGUCGGGUAGGUACGGCCGCGACGGACGUAAACGUACGAAAGGAAAGUUAAGUACGGCGUUGAGACGUUGCCGAACGGCGACGACGAGGGAGGAGG